GACGAACGCUGGCGGCGUGCCUAAUACAUGCAAGUCGAACGCUGAAGAGAGGAGCUUGCUCUUCUUGGAUGAGUUGCGAACGGGUGAGUAACGCGUAGGUAACCUGCCUUGUAGCGGGGGAUAACUAUUGGAAACGAUAGCUAAUACCGCAUAACAAUGGAUGACACAUGUCAUUUAUUUGAAAGGGGCAAUUGCUCCACUACAAGAUGGACCUGCGUUGUAUUAGCUAGUAGGUGAGGUAACGGCUCACCUAGGCGACGAUACAUAGCCGACCUGAGAGGGUGAUCGGCCACACUGGGACUGGGACACGGCCCAGACUCCUACGGGAGGCAGCAGUAGGGAAUCUUCGGCAAUGGGGGCAACCCUGACCGAGCAACGCCGCGGGAGUGAAGAAGGGUUUCGGAUCGGAAAGCUCUGUUGUAAGUCAAGAACGAGUGUGAGAGUGGAAAGUUCACACUGUGACGGUAGCUUACCAGAAAGGGACGGCUAACUACGUG
Molecule: ribosomal RNA, 497 nt
Filed under: uncultured bacterium
Lineage: Bacteria
Description: partial 16S ribosomal RNA
Rfam family: Bacterial small subunit ribosomal RNA
Source: RNAcentral